ACUCAAAUGAAUUGACGGGGGCCCGCACAAGCGGAGGAGCAUGUGGCUUAAUUCGAUGCAACGCGAAGAACCUUACCCGGGUUUGACAUGCAGCUGCAAGUCCCAUGAAAGUGGGAUCCCUUCGAGGGUGCUGCACAGGUGCUGCAUGGCUGUCGUCAGUUCGUGCCGUGAGGUGUUUGGUUAAGUCCAGCAACGAACGCAACCCCUGCGCUUAGUUACCAGCGAGUAAUGUCGGGGACUCUAAGCGGACCGCCCGUGCAAGCGGGAGGAAGGUGGGGAUGACGUCAAGUCAGUAUGGCCCUUACGCCCGGGGCUGCACACGUGCUACAAUGGCCGGUACAAUGGGAUGCUAGACCGCAAGGUGACGCAAACCCCCAGAACCGGCCCCAGUUCGGAUAGGAGUCUGCAACUCGACUCCUUGAAGCCGGAUUCGCUAGUAACGGCGUAUCAGCUACGACGCCGUGAAUACGUUCCCGGGCCUUGUACACACCGCCCGU
This 497-nucleotide ribosomal RNA is filed under the name uncultured bacterium. RNAcentral's name for it is "bacterial SSU rRNA". It matches the Rfam family "Bacterial small subunit ribosomal RNA", at positions 899 to 1397 of the family's 1533-position model. The record is from RNAcentral.